GGGGAAGCCUCUAAACUCACAAGGCAGAGCAGUGGAGCCGUCUCACAGGUGGCGCAGAGCAUGGGGAAUCCUCCUGAUCGAGGUAGAAGGCCCUGUGCCCCGCUGAAGGCCUUUCUGAAUCGUCAGGUGAGGAAGAUGUUUUGAGAGGAACUGACACAGUCUCAGUGAAUACUCAGCACCCAGGAAGAGACAAGCAACAUGCACUCGGGGAAUCAGGAAAGACUGUUUAUUUCACACAGGUGCCAGCCCAGUGAAGUCACCUCCAAAGGCUGAGCGUACUGCUCAGGUUUUACUGAUCUUUUACACAUAUCUGCUUCCGUGUUGGGCUGGACUAGUAUAGUCAAGCUUCUGUUUCCUGACCGCUGGCUGAUUUGAGAGGCAAGCAAUAUUGCAGAAGCCAAAAGCAUACAAGGGGAAUAUCUGGCCUCAGACAUCUGGCUGGUCCUUUUUAAUCUGCUUUUACCAGCUUUACUUCUCACUUGCUUUUAGCCUGCUUUUAUAAGUUUUUGUUGAAAGCUAGACAUGAUGUGUUGGCUAUCGGAGGUGUAUGGGCCUUUAGUGUGAAGUUUCAUGUGAAUCUUGUUGCAUCCACACGACUCCUGAAACAGAAUGCUGUGGGCACCAGUGACAGUCACAACAAAGUUUAUUACAAUGAGAGGCAAGGCCAACACUCUUGAUAAGAGUGCGGCCCUGAACAGCCGGGGCACAGAGUUUUUAAAGCCGAUCACAUCGUUUUAUCAUCACCUGGGAACAGAACAAAGAAAGUUUCCAGAUGAGUCAGAAACAGU
Lynx canadensis (Canada lynx) is the source of this 788-nucleotide long non-coding RNA. RefSeq lists it as uncharacterized. The transcript is spliced from 3 exons. The record is from RefSeq and is a predicted model, not a curated record. NCBI's taxonomy places the organism in Eukaryota, Metazoa, Chordata, Mammalia, Carnivora, Felidae.